Molecule: long non-coding RNA, 245 nt
Organism: Mya arenaria
Lineage: Eukaryota; Metazoa; Mollusca; Bivalvia; Myida; Myidae
Exons: 3
Source: RefSeq, a predicted model, not a curated record
CACCAAGCUGCCCACCAGAGGCCAAGCUGUACUUGGUGUUUGCCAACAUGCUGUAAUUUCCAGCCUGGUUGCUGUAGCCACAGAGGAAUUUUCAAGGACAAGAACCAGUGCUGGUAAAACUGUGGUCUCGUGUGGUUUUCCAUACCGGCUCUCGGCAAGGAUUUUCAAGAAAGGAAUAUCAUCUCCAAAUCAUGAUGUGCCAAUAAGCUCCAGUUAGCUGUGGCCUUUUCCCCAGGCGGUAGUCC